CGUGCUCCGCACGUGCACGGGACCUUCGUGGUCGUGCCGGAACACAUCGCCAACGGUCCGAUUCUGCCGACC
This 72-nucleotide transfer RNA is filed under the name Streptomyces mutabilis. Lineage: Bacteria; Bacillati; Actinomycetota; Actinomycetes; Kitasatosporales; Streptomycetaceae. The record is from RNAcentral.